Molecule: long non-coding RNA, 342 nt
Filed under: Citrus sinensis (sweet orange)
Lineage: Eukaryota; Viridiplantae; Streptophyta; Magnoliopsida; Sapindales; Rutaceae
Description: long non-coding RNA (CSIN_LNC005842)
Source: RNAcentral
GACAACGCCGCCUGCCGAGCUCCGAUGAUUCUAAGAUGCCGCUCCUCGGCCUGCUGUUCGAGAUUUCGGAAAACGUUAUUUUUUUCGCCGCUACUCCCAGCUCCGCCGUUAGCAGCGACAAGAGCGUUGCUCGGGUCAGCGCCUGGUUUCGUCUUCCUCUGGCGCUUCGCGUAGGUCACCUUCUGCCACCCGUGAUCGACAUUUGCGUUGUUAUUGUUGUGGACUUCGGAGGCUCCGUUAACGUUUGAUUCGAUGAGUACUGGUUCCAUGACUUCUUCGAUUCGAAAAGUCGUCGUUUUCAGAAUUUUGUUUGUUUUAAUUUUGGUUUUUUUUUUUUUUUUU